This is a long non-coding RNA of Pogoniulus pusillus (Red-fronted tinkerbird), 639 nucleotides long. RefSeq lists it as uncharacterized. NCBI's taxonomy places the organism in Eukaryota, Metazoa, Chordata, Aves, Piciformes, Lybiidae. The transcript is spliced from 3 exons. The record is from RefSeq and is a predicted model, not a curated record.
AAUAACAACCUGAGGACGCUGAGCAUUUCUGAGGUGCUACCACCCUGGAGUCACCACUUCAAGCAUGAGGAAGUGUUCUGACAUUUCCUUCUGCAGCUGUCUACAGUCUGGGUGAACCUCUCUUCUCAGAAACUGAGCACAUUGCUCCACAUAUUGAGUAUACAUCAUCAGCUCCGCUGCACAGGACUUGUCUCCAGUGUAAUGCUUUGGCUCCAUCAUACCAGACAUUGAAGAUGGUCUUCAGAAAGGUGAUGUCAUUCCCUGGUGAAGACAGUGAAAUGAAGAAAAUGGUAGCUGCUAGGCACACUGCAGGAUAUAACUGCCUAGUCCAAAGGCACUCACGUGGAAUCCAGGGGUUCCUGAAGCAAAACAUGCCUGGAAGUACAUUUCUCUUUUAGCUGCUGGUAAUGUUCAUGCCUGUGCAGUACAACCCUUGUAAUAGGGUAAUGGAUACCAGAAAUGAAGCUGAAGUUCAGCUCCAGCUGAAGUUCUUUAUAUAUUCUCUUGCAUUCAUCAAAGAAACAGAUUGAAAUGGAAGUUCACAUCUCCUUCAGACAACAGCAGGGAUUGUGCAAUAGCCAGCAAGAAAAGAACAAACUAUAUUUUACUCACCACAAAAAGUAUAUGACAAGUCCAGAU